This is a long non-coding RNA of Spinacia oleracea (spinach), 931 nucleotides long. RefSeq lists it as uncharacterized. Lineage: Eukaryota; Viridiplantae; Streptophyta; Magnoliopsida; Caryophyllales; Amaranthaceae. The transcript has 3 exons. The record is from RefSeq and is a predicted model, not a curated record.
UCUCAAACUCCCCUUCUUCUCCUUCUUCUGUGUCACCAUUUCAAUAAAGCUCAAACCCAUGACUAUCCAUGUGUCUCUACUAUAAAUCUAUAAUUAAUUCUCUUGCUAAUUCAUAAAACCUAUGUACCUAAAACUAGACUAGCUAAUCCUAAUCACCAAUUUAUUGACUCAAAUCUCAUACACUUGUCUCUACCAACAAGCUGAUUUAUGGCAUCAAUGGAGCACCCAAUCCUCUAUAAAUAGCUGAUAAUUCAUCCCCAAAAUGCAACACCAAUCACGAUUAAUCAUCAAUUGUAAUCUUCAUCAUUAAAAUCCAUAAAAAUCCUCACCUUCGAACCACCACCACUUUCGCCACCCGUUCCACCGGAAACCACCACCGUCGCUCUCUGCCGGCCGCCCACCUUCGCCCUCAUACUCUACCGCCUCUUUUGUACGGGUCCCGACCAGAAGCCGUCGGACCAGUGACCUGCUCUCCUCCUCCCUUCUCUGUUCUUCGGCCUUGCGAGCGAAAUCCCGACCAUCGGAGCUCAGGAAAGACGAUAAUCAAGGCUAGAGAAAAAGCCUAGUCAAUCACGAAUAGAGGUGCCGAUCGGGGCGACGGAUGCGAAUAGUGGCAAGGAUUUCGUCUUAUUAGGGUUCACCUAGUUUAAGCUUAUUUUGUAUUAAGUCCAAGUAAGAAUUUUCUACUAAGUUAUGUAAGUCACUUUUGAAUAUUAAUAUAGAACAUAGUUAUAUAAAAGUAUUAUGAGGAUAAUAGCCUUGUAAUUCCCAAGAGGGAGUUACGGCGGUAGUGUCCCGACCGAAUUAAGAUAAUUCCGCUGCUUCAUUACUUGAGUUAGAGGUCGGGGCGUUACAGGUGACACUAUAAAUCCUCUUACCACCAUUUAUUAUAUCGGAUUCAGAAUUUAAGGAGAACCAUAAGAUGAUAAUU